UGUACCAAUGAGGUGCGUUAAAAAUGUCAGUUGCACAUAAAUACGCGUUGCUUGGUAAACGUUAACUUAAAUGUCAUUAUAAUUUUGUGUGUAAGAAGAUUAUGACCGCAUUAAAAGUUUUAAACUGGUUUAUAUCAAAGUGACAUAAUUAUAAUUAGUCAAUCACGACAUUGAUCGCGAUCAUACUAAUCUCCUUUCUACCGGAACGUCUCGUAUCAAACGCGAAAUAUUUCUGUUUCGCAAGAUAGCAAACAUGUGUAUCAAAAGUAUUACUACAAAAUAGCCUCAAAGUAUUCAUUUUGUGGCAUUCAUAAAACGUUUGUAAAUGGAGCCUCGAUCAAGAAAAUGGACGAAUCACUCACCACAUCAGCUCUUGCCUCUUGGGACAUGUGUGGUACCUGGUUGGCUACGUGCAGCGCGCACUGUAACAAUAGAGGGAGCUCCCAGACUGCACAAGCACUGAGCGCUCCAAUGGCAGCACAUACAACUGCCUGCAAAAAUGUGAUUGCGUACUCAAGCCUGCACUGGUAGGUUGUUUGAGGAAAAAUGUACCUGACUUUUGCCAUAUAUUGGACUGUGUUCUGGUCCAUUAUAAAAGCACACCCAAUGCAAGAGCCAGAAACUUCUCCCAAAGUCCACACUGCAGAUUCUCUUCUUCAGGUCAGAUAUGCGUGCUCGUUCUUAUAUUUUAGUUCUUGGUGUAGUACAACUCCCUUUAGUAGCAGUAAGAUUUAAAACUAAGUCCCUGUCCAGUCCUUUCACCAUCUGCCAGCAGGCCCCGAAAUUUCCUUCUGGGUGCAAUAAUAAAUAUACCCCACUAAAUCUUGGGCCAGUGAAAUAGUAGGAAGUAUAUCACUGUUUGUUUGCUUAGGGACGGUCGUUAGACGCCUGGAUCCUGGACUUGACAGUUGCCAAGACAACCAAAAAGAUUUUAACCCCCCCCCAAAAAAAAAUCUUAACUCUCUUUCUAUCUAUGAUUUAAGUUAUUGCUUUAGUUGUUUG
Molecule: long non-coding RNA, 1002 nt
Organism: Misgurnus anguillicaudatus (oriental weatherfish)
Lineage: Eukaryota; Metazoa; Chordata; Actinopteri; Cypriniformes; Cobitidae
Source: RefSeq, a predicted model, not a curated record